Solea senegalensis (Senegalese sole) is the source of this 406-nucleotide long non-coding RNA. RefSeq lists it as uncharacterized. The transcript has 2 exons. Lineage: Eukaryota; Metazoa; Chordata; Actinopteri; Pleuronectiformes; Soleidae. The record is from RefSeq and is a predicted model, not a curated record.
UUGUUGCAUGUAGUAGAGAGUGGCUCCCUCUGCUGCACCAUCUGUGCACCAGGCUCUGCUCCAUCCACCGCCCGGGCUAAGAGUGCACGCAAGUUACUUCAUAACCGGACGACCACCGGAGAUAGUGCUGCAUGUUUAUCAGCAGCAACAGCAGCGCGAUGCCCCCGGGCAGCUCUGCGCGUCAACACGCCGAGUCGGACCGUGUCCUCACCGCAGACACAUGAUCUACAAAAGCGGCAGCUCGACCCAAUUAACGAGUCCCCAAACAAGAAGCUGACGCUUAAUCGUCACCAAACCGACAAUAUAAUAACACCCACAAACAGAGACAAUUAAAAUGAGUGGUUCCCUUCACGUGUGGUUCUUUUGUUUACAUCUGACAGUGACAAUAAACGCACCACAAAUGUCA